CCAAGAUUGGCUCUGGUUUAUUUCAUUUUCAUGAGUGAGUGAAUUAACCAUGUGUACUGGUGGUAUUUCAGUGCUUUUCAAAAGUAAAUUUUGAACUGUCAAAUUGAGCCAGAGAACCUUACAUUAGGAGUAAUGAAUCAGCUAACAUGUAAUUAACCUUAAUUUGUAGUUUCUUAUCAUAUGGUAAACUAUUAUAGAAACCUUUAAGAAAAUAAAAUAUUCUGCUCGUCUAGGAGCUGUUAAAGUGGAGCAAGACACUGGGUGAAAUGUACAUCUCUCUCCUUUAUUUACUUUGUUCUCAUUUUUAUACUAAUGUAACUUAUUAUUUUAAGGAUUAUUGUCAGGAAUAAACUCUCAUUCAGAAAUAUCCUUAAAAACUACUUUCUUCAACACCACUUCAGAGCAUCACACAGCCCACCGGCUAGCACUGGGCAGGAACCAGUUCAGUGCAUGCAGAAGCACCCGUGAGUACACUAAAGAUAAGCAAUGGUGGGCCUGUAGAUUAAUAUAAUCUUUUUGACUGCUUCCCUGUCAAGUCCCCAAGGACCAGCUCCUCUAAUCUAACUUUUUGUUUAUGGCAUCUUUUCUUCUAGCAUAUAGAGAUAACUCAGAGCAAAGUGGUCAACAGACAGAGAUUCAGUUACUCAAAGUCAUUUUGGUAAUGGAAGGCUCAUGUGAUUUCUGGAAAACAGACUGGGAAUUUUGCUUCAUACAUUUCUGGAUUUAUGAACAAAAUGGAUUCUGCACACCGAAUGGGCCAAGCUCCUGGAAAAAACCCAACCAUUAGUGAAAGCUGCAAGCAGCAAGGCAGCAUGUAGACCCCAAUCUGAUUACUUUUUCUGUAACCAGCAUCCAGUGUUGGUCAUUGCAGGACAGGUUGACACUUGGAAUCCCCAGGCUAAGAACAAGAAGCAGAGUAAUCCCAGGUUCAUUGCAGUAACCAGCUGCAGCUUUCAGAUGUCAGCCCAUAGAUUUCCAUGUUCCUGCAAUACCUCUCCUUCAUCCUGGAAGGGCAGGUUCACAGCACCUGUUUUAAGAACAACAUUGACCCAGCAAGAGCAGAACAGCCUUUAGGAACCUUUGAGAUGGGGACCAGCAGCUAAGGUUCAGUGUUGGGCACAGAAGCAGUGAGAAGCUAUGAGAUCACCUUCCAAGGCACUGGUUCUUUUACUGAUGUCGAUGAACAACGUAUGGGUAGUGAUAUCCUGUGCAGCUGCACUGAGUCUUCCGU
Long non-coding RNA from Apus apus (common swift), 1231 nucleotides. RefSeq lists it as uncharacterized. NCBI's taxonomy places the organism in Eukaryota, Metazoa, Chordata, Aves, Apodiformes, Apodidae. The record is from RefSeq and is a predicted model, not a curated record. The transcript has 5 exons.